RNA transcript from Eubalaena glacialis (North Atlantic right whale), 1779 nucleotides. It is a transcript of the gene named interleukin 11 receptor subunit alpha, with no coding region annotated. The transcript has 13 exons. The record is from RefSeq and is a predicted model, not a curated record. Lineage: Eukaryota; Metazoa; Chordata; Mammalia; Artiodactyla; Balaenidae.
GCCGCCCCACGGCGGGGCCCCAGGGCGGCAGGGAGUAGAGGACGGGGCAGAGGGCGAGGGCGGAGGGCGCUGGCGGCGGCGGCCGCAGAAGAUGAGCAGCAGCUGCUCAGGGCUGAGCAGGGUCCUGGUGGCCGUGGCUACAGCCCUGGUGUCUGCCUCCUGUCCCUGCCCCCAGGCCUGGGGCCCCCCAGGGGUCCAGUAUGGGCAGCCUGGCAGGGCCAUGACGCUGUGUUGCCCUGGAGUGACUGCUGGGGCCCCGGUGUCCUGGUUUCGGGACAGGGAGACAAGGCUGCUCCAGGGACCUGACUCUGGUCUAGGGCACGAACUGGUCCUGGCCCGGGCAGAAAGCACUGACGAGGGCACCUAUAUCUGCCGGACCCUGGAUGGUGCACUUGGGGGCAUGGUGACCCUGCAGCUGGGCUACCCCCCAGUCCGCCCUGUUGUCUCCUGCCGAGCAGCUGACUAUGAGAACUUCUCCUGCACUUGGAGUCCCAGCCAGGUUAGCGGUUUACCCACCCGCUACCUCACCUCCUACAGGAAGAAGACGGUACCAGGAGCUGAUGGCCAAAGGAUGAGUCCAUCCACAGGGCCCUGGCCAUGCCCACAGGACCCCCCAGGGGCUGCCCGCUGUGUAGUCCAUGGGGCAGAGUUCUGGAGCCAGUACCGGAUCAAUGUGACUGAAGUGAACCCCCUGGGGGCCAGCACACGCCUGCUGGAUGUGAGCUUGCAGAGCAUCUUGCGCCCUGACCCACCCCAGGGGCUGCGGGUAGAGUCGGUACCUGGCUAUCCUCGCCGCCUGCGUGCCAGCUGGACGUACCCUGCCUCCUGGCCCCGCCAGCCCCACUUCCUGCUCAAGUUCCGGCUGCAGUACCGUCCAGCACAGCAUCCAGCCUGGUCCACGGUGGAACCGGCUGGAUUGGAGGAGGUGAUCACGGACGCUGUGGCUGGGCUGCCCCAUGCCGUGCGGGUCAGUGCCCGGGACUUUCUGGACGCAGGCACCUGGAGCGCCUGGAGCCCCGAGGCCUGGGGUACUCCGAGCACCGGGCCCCUACCGAAGGAGAUACCAGCUGGGGGCCAGCAACACGCGCAGCCAGAGGAAGAACCUCAGGCGGAUAGCCCUGCUCCCCCAAGACCGUCCUUCCUACCAGACCCGCGGCCACUGGACCACAGAGACGCCCUGGAGCAGGUGGCUAUGCUGGCAUCUUUGGGAAUCUUCUCUUUCCUGGGACUGGUGGCUGGGGCCCUGGCACUGGGGCUCUGCUUCCUUUUUGUGCUCCAGGCUGAGGUUGAGACCAGAUGAGAAGGAUGGACCCCAAAAGUCUGGGUUCUUGGCCCCAAUGAUUCCAGUGGACAAGCUUCCAGGAGUCCCAAACCUGUAGAAGAUCUUGGAAGGCUUCAGCUGAUUCCACCUAUAACUCUGUCUUGCUGGUGUGGAUGGACGGACAGGUGGAACCCAGGCAGGACAGUAGAUCCCCAUGGAGGGGGGUUCUCAGCUGGAAGUUCUGUUUGGAGCUCAUUUCUAUGAGACUGUGUGUUCCCAGCUUGCCAGCUGAAAGGUGCCUGGACCUCUGACUUCAUCCCAGAGUUGGAGGUCCACCUGAGGAAUGUGUGUAGAUAUGUAUGUCUGUGUCCAUGUGUGUCCAAGUGUAUGUGAGGCAGGGAACAUGUGUUCUCUGCAUGUAUGUAUAUAGGUACCUGGGGAGUGUGUGUGGGUCCUUGGCUCUCGGCCUUGCCCCUGGCGGGGGUUGUGAAGGUGUGAAUAAAGAGAAUGAGGAGGUU